Octopus sinensis (East Asian common octopus) is the source of this 2448-nucleotide RNA transcript. RefSeq lists it as uncharacterized. The record is from RefSeq and is a predicted model, not a curated record. NCBI's taxonomy places the organism in Eukaryota, Metazoa, Mollusca, Cephalopoda, Octopoda, Octopodidae. The transcript has 3 exons.
ACCAGGAUUAUCAUAUAUUUUUCUUUCUCUAUAACAAUUCCAUUCGUACGUGAAAUGCCUCAUGGAAUUUUGUUGUGUAGUAAUGAGACUUGUAUCUUUUCUUUCUCCCUGAAGAAGGAUAAACAUCCAAAACGUUGUUUCUUUUCUCUCCCAGGCGUAAAAUGUAUUCUAACCUUUGAUCUAUUUGUACAAUCAGAACGCUACAAGUUCCAACAAAUUAUAUUAUUUCGCCGAUUAGGACUAUGUCAAUGUGUUAUGUGCACAUUCUGUCCACUAAUAAUUUAAAACCCUAGAUAUUAGGUCUUUAAAAAAGAAAUCGUUCUCAGUCGCAGUUCAAGUGUCCACUUGUGUUAUACUAACAGUUUUUGUGAAUGCUUGGUCGUAUUUACUGAAAAAUAUAUCUCUGUAUUAAACUUCUGCAUCACUAACGUUUAUGAGAAAGUACCGAAUUAUCACGAAUGUGUUGUCACCAAUUUUGUAAGUUACUAACAUAUUAAUAGGAUGUAACGAAUCCUCUGUUGAUAUAUUUUUUAAUGAAAAAAAAUCCUGUAAUUAUUUUUUAAUGUUUUCUAUUGUGUUGUAUUUACGUGUUAUAUUUUCACAAAUACACACACUAUAAAUAUUAUUUUUUAUGAAAACAAUAAAAUGAUCGAAAUAAAACUAUUUCAUUCCAUAUAUACAUCCGUACUUUACAAACUCUCUGCUAAACAAGUGUGUUUGACGUCACUUCCUCUAAUCUCAUGCGCACUCGUAUUCUGCGCAUUACCAGCAGAAGGCCGACCGAACGGAAGGAUGGUAUUGUCUUUUACUUAAUGUUUUAGUAAUUUCCAACAGAUUCACUUUUCUUAGAUGCAUAUUGUCUAUAUAAGAACAGCGAAAAUAAAUGUCUGCUUGAAUGUAAUUUACCAUUUGUUGGAUGCCCACUAGUCGUUUUAUAACGGCAACAACAGAACAAGGAAGAUGUGAAUAUAUGUCAUUGCCUCGUUAUAGUGACAGACAGGCAGAGCAGAGAGAAUCCUUAUCCAUCAAGUAUUAUAAGAAAAGAAUACGUAGGAAAGCCCAAUACUGAAGGCUCUUCACCACACACUCAGACUAUGACUUAUGUAUAAUAUAAUUUUGAUUUUCGGUUCCCAGAAUUAUAAUUGUCACUAAAAAUGCCGAUUAAUUAAAAAGACUAAAUUAACGUCCAGCUUCCAUCGUCACCAACCAUAUCAUCAAUGAGAAGGCGGAUAAUAGUGGCAUUUUCACUACACAGCUACCUGUCUAAUAAGCAUUAUGAAACCGGAUCCCUAUAAACAAAAGAGUAAACAAGAAAACAGACUUACAAAAUGAACCAAGAAUUAUUAUAAAAUAUAAAAAUGCAUAGAAUUAUUAAAUAAUUGUUUUUUUUUUCAUCAGUUACAAAAAAAAAAAAAGAAUGCAGAUUUCGCUACAUCGAAAGAAAUUUGAGUAUGUACCUAAUACAGAAAAAAACCCAUAAACAGCUGUACAGAGAUUAAAAGAAAUCGAUAAUAUAUCUUACGAAAAUUACAUGAAAUAUUUUUAUCAUGUCUUUGAAGAGAACCUACUUUUCUUUAUUUUUCUGUAUGUAGGUGUGAUUUUGUAAAAAGAAUAACGAGAGCAUUCGAACAGUAUUGAGUUUUAUACAUCACAUCAAAAUUAAAUUGUGUAAAUCCGAGGAAACUAAGACAUGAAAUUUGGCAUAAAAUAUAAAAUGUUUUUUGUAUUUGUAUUUUUAUCACAUGAAUUAUUCUUAACAGCGCAAUGCAAUCAUUUUCAUGAUUUAAUCUCAAAGUUACAACAGUUGAAGUUAAGUGGUAAUUCCCUGUGUUAAAGUAUGCUCCUCAUAUACCAACGGAUUUUCCUUGAAGUUGGCAUCUCUAACUCCUCGACUAAAAUUUGAAACACUUAUCACUCAAUUAUCUAUCUUUAUCAUAUUGAUGUCAUUCUAUUUUUAUUUCUUACUUAAUUUUUUUUUUUUUAAUUCCUCUGGUUUCUUCAUUCUGAAUGAAACUUAAACAAUGAGUUCAAGAAAAGGAAAAUCUCGAGACGGAAGCAAAUCCCGCGAAAAUGCUGCUGCCGCAGAAAGGUUAGCUGAUUACACAGGAGUAAGCACAGUGCUUGCCGGUCACAGCAGUGGCGGUGCUGGUUAUUGCAGUAAUUUAAGUGUUGUUGGUGGUAACAGUACUAGCAAUCCGAAUAGUGCUGCUACUUCUAGCAUUACUGGAAGCACCAUUCAAAAUAUUAGUUGCGGUGCUAGUGUCAUUUGUGGUACAACUCUAACUACUAUAGCACCGAGUGGCUCACCCGAUCAUGAAGGUUCGGUUUCAAGUUCUAAUCCAAGCCCUUCUGGUUUGGAAACUAGUAGGGAAGAACUUCCAGCCGGAAUGGAUUCAGCAACUCUUAAGGAUAAUCAAAAAGAUCUUGUCAAGGAGCAAAAAUGUAGUU